Molecule: ribosomal RNA, 467 nt
Filed under: uncultured bacterium
Lineage: Bacteria
Description: partial 16S ribosomal RNA
Rfam family: Bacterial small subunit ribosomal RNA
Source: RNAcentral
GACGAACGCUGGCGGCGUGCUUAACACAUGCAAGUCGAACGGAAAGGCUCCAGCUUGCUGGAGUACUCGAGUGGCGAACGGGUGAGUAACACGUGGGUAAUCUGCCCUGCACUCUGGGAUAAGCCUGGGAAACUGGGUCUAAUACUGGAUAUGACCUUUCUCCUUAUGGGGUUUGGUGGAAAGUUUUUCGGUGUAGGAUGAGCCCGCGGCCUAUCAGCUUGUUGGUGGGGUGAUGGCCUACCAAGGCGACGACGGGUAGCCGGCCUGAGAGGGUGAUCGGCCACAUUGGGACUGAGAUACGGCCCAGACUCCUACGGGAGGCAGCAGUGGGGAAUAUUGCACAAUGGGCGGAAGCCUGAUGCAGCGACGCCGCGUGAGGGAUGACGGCCUUCGGGUUGUAAACCUCUUUCAGCAGGGACGAAGCGUAAGUGACGGUACCUGCAGAAGAAGCACCGGCUAACUAUAUG